UAGGGAAUCUUCCGCAAUGGGCGAAAGCCUGACGGAGCAACGCCGCGUGAGUGAUGAAGGUCUUCGGAUCGUAAAACUCUGUUAUUAGGGAAGAACAAAUGUGUAAGUAACUAUGCACGUCUUGACGGUACCUAAUCAGAAAGCCACGGCUAACUACGUGCCAGCAGCCGCGGUAAUACGUAGGUGGCAAGCGUUAUCCGGAAUUAUUGGGCGUAAAGCGCGCGUAGGCGGUUUUUUAAGUCUGAUGUGAAAGCCCACGGCUCAACCGUGGAGGGUCAUUGGAAACUGGAAAACUUGAGUGCAGAAGAGGAAAGUGGAAUUCCAUGUGUAGCGGUGAAAUGCGCAGAGAUAUGGAGGAAAACCAGUGGCGAAGGCGACUUUCUGGUCUGUAACUGUCGCUGAUGUGCGAAAGCGUGGGGAUCAAACAGG
This 429-nucleotide ribosomal RNA is filed under the name Actinomycetes bacterium. Its description in RNAcentral is "Actinobacteria bacterium partial 16S ribosomal RNA". It matches the Rfam family "Bacterial small subunit ribosomal RNA", at positions 355 to 776 of the family's 1533-position model. The record is from RNAcentral. Lineage: Bacteria; Bacillati; Actinomycetota; Actinomycetes.